GAUCCUGGCUCAGGAUGAACGCUGGCGGCGUGCUUAACACAUGCAAGUCGAACGAAGCACUUUAUUACAAUUUCUUCGGAAUGACGAUUUGGUGACUGAGUGGCGGACGGGUGAGUAACGCGUGGGUAACCUGCCUUAUACAGGGGGAUAACAGUUAGAAAUGACUGCUAAUACCGCAUAAGCGCACAGGAUUGCAUGAUCUGGUGUGAAAAACUCCGGUGGUAUAAGAUGGACCCGCGU
RNAcentral lists this ribosomal RNA (240 nucleotides) under uncultured bacterium. RNAcentral's name for it is "partial 16S ribosomal RNA". It matches the Rfam family "Bacterial small subunit ribosomal RNA", at positions 15 to 236 of the family's 1533-position model. The record is from RNAcentral.